GGGCAAUAGACACGAUCGCUCCGGAGCAUCCCCUCUCGAGUAACCGAACUAAACCAGCUCCUUGGUUUACUGAGGAGCUGGCAGCGAUGAAGCGAAAGAAGAGGGAACUAGAGUGCGUGUGGCGAUCAGAGUAUAACGAGUCAGACCGAACACGGCUAGGCUCCUAUCUUAGGGCAUAUGCCGCAGCAAUCAAAGUCGCAAGGAGAGUCCACCUUGCGGCCAAUAUUGCGUCCGCACAGAACCGUCCGGCGGCGCUGUUCUGUGUCAUCAGAGGGUUGUUAACUCCCACCAAUCAAGGUGAGAGCCCUGAUAACUCGACAGCCCGCUGUGAAGCAUUUGCUCGGUUCUUUGCAGACAAAGUCGCUCUGAUCCGUUCCGACUUUGACACCAUGUUAACGGCAGUCUCUGAGGAUGUAUCGAGCGCAUCUGCUUGUCCAGUUUUGUUGGAUUCAUUUCAAUUAGUUGAGCUCGAGGAUGUGGACAAGAUCCUUGGAGAGGCGAGACUGACCACAUGUAUCCUGGACCCCUGCCCAUCCUGGCUGGUGAGAGAAGCCAGAGGGGGAUUGGCCGAGUGGGUGAAGGUGGUGGUGAAUGCCUCCCUUCAGGAGGGCAAGUUUCCAGCGAGCCUAAAAAUGGCUGUGAUCAAGCCGCUGUUGAAAAAGCCAUCACUGGAUCCCACUCAAUUUGGAAACUUUAGGCCUAUCUCCAAUCUCCCCUAUUUGGGCAAGGUCCUGGAACAUGUGGUUGCCUCACAGCUCCAGGGAUUCUGGGUUGAUUGAUUUUCUGGAUCUGGCACAGUCUGGCUUCAGGCCGGGGCAUGGUACCGAGACAGCCUUGGUCGCCUUAGUCGAUGAUCUUCGCCGGGAACUAGACAGAGGGAGUGUGUCCCUGCUGGUUCUGCUGGAUCUCUCAGCGGCCUUCGAUACCGUCGAUCACGGUAUCAUUCUGGGAUGCCUCGCGGGAAUGGGACUUGGAGGUACUGUUCUGCAGUGGCUCCACUCAUUCCUGGAGUGUCGGUCCCAGAUGGCA
This 1029-nucleotide long non-coding RNA is filed under the name Anolis carolinensis (green anole). RNAcentral's name for it is "lncRNA (ENSACAG00000045373.1)". The record is from RNAcentral. Lineage: Eukaryota; Metazoa; Chordata; Lepidosauria; Squamata; Anolidae.